This 253-nucleotide ribosomal RNA is filed under the name uncultured bacterium. RNAcentral's name for it is "partial 16S ribosomal RNA". It matches the Rfam family "Bacterial small subunit ribosomal RNA", at positions 524 to 776 of the family's 1533-position model. The record is from RNAcentral.
UACAGAGGUGGCAAGCGUUGUUCGGAAUUACUGGGCGUAAAGGGCGCGUAGGCGGCUUGGUCAGUCCCGUGUGAAAUCCCUCGGCUCAACUGAGGAACUGCACGGGAAACUGCCUGGCUUGAGUUCGGGAGAGGGAAGCGGAAUUCCGGGUGUAGCGGUGAAAUGCGUAGAUAUCCGGAGGAACACCGGUGGCGAAGGCGGCUUCCUGGACCGACACUGACGCUGAGGCGCGAAAGCUAGGGGAGCGAACAGG